Molecule: long non-coding RNA, 212 nt
Filed under: Elaeis guineensis (African oil palm)
Lineage: Eukaryota; Viridiplantae; Streptophyta; Magnoliopsida; Arecales; Arecaceae
Description: long non-coding RNA (EGUI_LNC014144)
Source: RNAcentral
CAUUUUGGAAAUAUUUUUGGUAGAAUUGUCUCAAUUGCACUCGGUGUGUGAUGAUACAGAGGCUCACAUCCAUUGACCUAGAAUGAUAAAUUGGUGACAAGACAUUAAUAUAUUUUGAUAGAUUUGAGUCCUUAUCAGCUGUUCCUUUUUAGUUUUGAUUGAUUACUAUGUCAAGAUAAAUUCCAACAUUAUUAGCAUAAACCGUUACCUAG